UGUGGACCCAGAUGUAGAACUUUCAGUUCA
This 30-nucleotide non-coding RNA is filed under the name Rattus norvegicus (Norway rat). The record is from RNAcentral. Lineage: Eukaryota; Metazoa; Chordata; Mammalia; Rodentia; Muridae.